Non-coding RNA from Ciona savignyi (Pacific transparent sea squirt), 72 nucleotides. The record is from Rfam. Lineage: Eukaryota; Metazoa; Chordata; Ascidiacea; Phlebobranchia; Cionidae.
GCCUCUAUAGUUCAGUAGCAGAGCACUGGUCUUGUAAACCAGGGGUCGUCAGUUUAAUCCUCACUGGAGGCA